CCUACGGGAGGCAGCAGUGAGGAAUAUUGGUCAAUGGACGAGAGUCUGAACCAGCCAAGUAGCGUGAAGGAUGACUGCCCUAUGGGUUGUAAACUUCUUUUAUAUGGGAAUAAAAUGUUCCACGUGUGGGAUUUUGUAUGUACCAUAUGAAUAAGGAUCGGCUAACUCCGUGCCAGCAGCCGCGGUAAUACGGAGGAUCCGAGCGUUAUCCGGAGUUAUUGGGUUUAAAGGGAGCGUAGGUGGAUUGUUAAGUCAGUUGUGAAAGUUUGCGGCUCAACCGUAAAAUUGCAGUUGAAACUGGCAGUCGUGAGUACAGUAGAGGUGGGCGGAAUUCGUGGUGUAGCGGUGAAAUGCUUAGAUAUCACGAAGAACUCCGAUUGCGAAGGCAGCUCACUGGACUGCAACUGACACUGAGGCUCGAAAGUGUGGGUAUCAAACAGGAUUAGAUACCCGAGUAGUG
This 460-nucleotide ribosomal RNA is filed under the name uncultured bacterium. Its description in RNAcentral is "partial 16S ribosomal RNA". It matches the Rfam family "Bacterial small subunit ribosomal RNA", at positions 338 to 795 of the family's 1533-position model. The record is from RNAcentral.